CUUUGCGCGCAAUGGCACGUCCGCCCGCACUUCUCCGCGCACGGCACCGACACAACUUUCUUAACCUUUACAGCCACGCGGCGCGGCGCGUCUCCUGCGCCUGCGGGGCGGGCGCGCACCCACCCGUCCAGGAGGCUGGAGGACCGAGGACCGUCCUGCCCGCGGACCUAUCGCCUCCCGACAGGGCUCCGCUGCGCUCGGGAACACUGGACAGCACUUCAGCACUGUUCUUAGGGGCCGUUUAAACAGCAAAAUCUACAAGAAAAACACAAAAAAAUGCAGAGAUUUGACACUACAUGACCUGUAAAUAGUACACUGUUCCAUGACAGGAGCUGAAACAAGAAGGCAGAGGGCAGCCUUGAUCUCAGCUUUGAACAUGGGCCUCAAGCAGCUCAGACUUCUUGCUUCUCUGUGCUUAUCUUCAAGUAGCCCUGCAGCAAGUGCUGACAUGUGGACUUCAGGUUACAAGUAAAUUCUGAGCUUUUCUGUGACAAUUGUACCUCCCUGGGGUCAAACUACUGUGGCCAACUCAGUCCUACCCUCACGCUUUAACAACCGAUUUCCUGAAAGCACAAAGUUUUGCUUGAGAUGGCUGCUUCUGAAGAGCCCAAGAAAGCCUGUGUGGACAAGGAAGCCGGCAGCAUCUGGCAGCCAUGAGAGCCCUGUAAAGACCCUAGAAUGACAGACGGGCAGCGGUUUCUGGAUAGUACUCCAUCUGCAUUCCUAAUCUGGGGGAGAUUUUCUAAGCGUUUCCAAGUUUCUUCUCUUGUGGAGGGGAUCCUCAGUCAUUUAAAGCCAUGCCUGGGCACACUGUUUUACUCAGGCUUCCUCUAUUAUACAGUAAGAAAAGAUUCUGCACAAGUCAGACUUAUGUGGUUUUGAAAACUGCUAUUGGUCAAGCAAGAAUAGAGAUAGAACAUUGGGAUUACAGAAAGUAGGCUGAGAUGCUGCUUACUGUAGAAUUCACCUUGGAACAGUGCGGAUAUUAGCAACAGCAUCUUAGAACAUUAACUCAGCGACUCACUUAGCUCCAGACUGGUGGAGAUACCACGGGACUGCAGAACCGAGGCUGAGCGGCUGACCUCCCAGCUGAGCAGACAAAGGCUCACUUAGAACCGCAGAGAUGGGGAGGAAGGCCAGCCCAGGGGAGCGCCGCCGUGAAGUCGCUGGGACUCCAGGCGCUCAGCUCACUUCAGAGUAGACCUGGCAGCACAAGAGCAUCAUACGGUUCCCUGGAGCGUGCCUCCAUGGACAGUAAAGUACUCCUGGAAGGCAUCGUGUGGGCUAGCAGGAGCAAAGCUCGGAGUUGAAAGAUUUCCCCGGACUUUCUCUUACACAAGUGUGGAAUCCAGAAAACAUGUUUUCUCUUCAUUGAGCAUAACGAGCGUCUGUUGGUUGCAGAGAAGAUACUGUUGAGCACCAGUUUACUGAUGUGACCUGGAAUCCAGGGUCUAAGGAUGUGCUGUGAAGCAUGGGUGUUGGUUGCAGAAGAAUGGGAGCGGUGGCUUCGUGAAUCCUAACAGGAGGAAAGGUUGGCCGUGAUUGCCGGGAUGUGGGAAGAGCGGCCGGGUGGGCAGACAGAAGAGGCUCGCGGUGCCCCCACCGCUGACCCUCUCUCUGCACGGCCACUCCUGUUCCACGCCGGAACGUCAGACACAGAAUAAACAAAAAGAAGUGACAAGGCAAAGGUGGUCAACAAUGCCCACCCUCAGCUGGUUCCCUGCAGUGCUGGCUCCCUCCGUGCACUCCUCGCGCGCGGGCAUCCCAAGGCAGCUUACAAGAGCAGUCACUCUGGAAGACAAAGAGUUGCUGCAGAAAGAUGGAAGUCACCAUGUUUAUGCUGGACUCCUGAUAUAAGCCAAUUCCGAGAUCUUUGAGGAUAACAGCCUACCAGACAUUUAUGCUCCCUGAGCAUUAAUUAAUGGUUUUUUGCACAGAUAUCUAUUCUGCUCAAUAUGCUUAGAGACUUGAUUUAAUUAUAAAACCCUAACAAACCAAAUUGUGUGUUUUCCACAUGGUGAAGGACCACACACUCACUAAAGCUUUAAGCAGAAUCAGUUUACUGUGGAUUCUAUCCAAUAUUAUGAUGUUCUGUUGUCCAAAAAUACAGUUUUGAAAGAUGAGGUUAGAUUUAUUCGUGCUGUUUGGCUGAGAUUUCAUUAAGUGAGAAGGCUUUCACAGUCUUCUUAGACCAAGCAAAUUUUAUUAGGCCAAACUAUAUUUAGGUAUAUCUAUGGAAUCUCUCCAAUUUAUUCUAUGUUCUAAAAUCUUGGAAGUCUGAAAUUUUGUUUUAUUUUCCCUUUUUAAAAUUCCCUCACCCCCUGUGAUAUUAUUCAAAGUAAAACACAUUUUUGUUUCAUAAGUGACUGAGGACAGUGGAAAUUCAGGAUGUGCUUGGAGUUUUAGUGCAGGCUACAGAAGAAAAGUCCUCCAUGGCCCCUUUCCUAUGCCAAACCACCAUGGGGGGCACCCGAUGAACCCCCUGGAGCUGUGGUGUCUGCAGCCGAGGGAUCCCUUGUCUGGCACCCCAGCCUCUCACCUACACGCUGAGCAGCUGACCUCUUCUUAGAGGACAAACGACAUUCAGAUUUCUGGCAUUCGUGUAUUCAGGGGUUCCUUCCUUCAAUCUCUGACAAACCUUAAUUUAGGGCUGAUUAUUAACAGCCACAGAGCUGAGUGUCGCUGCUCAGACCACAUGCAGCCAGCUCCCAGCGUUCGGUUCACCACACGUUUCUCUUAAGUUCCAAAUGACAGUAUGUUCAGGGCUUCAGCACAGCACAGAAAAUGUCUCCAUCUCCUGUUACUGAUCCCCUGAGCCAUAAACUCCCCAAGAAAAAAAAAUCUUUUUCUAAGGAGACUGGCUUCCUUUCAAGCUUAUGAAAAUCAGCCAGAGGGCUCAGGCUAACUUUAGACAACUAAAAAUAAAGUGAAAACUUGGUUUUAAAAAUUAUUAUUAUAAUUUUUAAAAAAUUUUUUAUUGUUAUGUUAAUCCCCAUACAUUACAUAAUUCGUUUUAGAUGUAGUGUUCCAUGAUUCAUUGUUUGUGCAUAACACCCAGUGCUCCAUGCAGAACGUGCCCUCCUCAAUACCCACCACCAGGCCAACCCAUCCUCCCACCCCCCUCCCCUCCAGAACCCUGUUUGUUUUUCAGAGUCCAUUGUCUCUCAUGGUUCGUCUACCCCUCCGAAUUCCCCCCCUUCAUUCUUCCCCUCCUGCUAUCUUCUUCUUUUUUUUCUUAACAUAUAUUGCAUUAUUUGUUUCAGAGGUACAGAUCUGAGAUUCAACAGUCUUGCACAAUUCACAGUUAUUAUUAUAAUUUUAAAAGCCUUUUUGAGAUAUACUUGUAUAGUGGUACAAAAUCAGAUUUUAAAAAUUUCAUUGUCAUCAUGACAAUAAGUCUGUUUUUGGCUCUGAUCAAAUGAAGAACUUGUGUAAUGAAUGCUUCUUUUUUUCCUCUCUUAAGAACCGAUUAUGUAAAUGCUGUCUGAUUCCACUUACACGAGGCAUGAAGAGCAGCAAAAUCAUAAAGACAGAAGGUGGGACGGAGGUGCCCGGACGGGGGAGGAGGAAGAUUCUUACCAGAACUUAAUUGAGGAUAAUUUGGCCAUUUUAUAAAGUGGAUUUUGUACAGCAUCUCCGUGGCCCUCAGCUCAGCCAUAGCCAUGGGUAGAGUAACUCCAAGGACAGUUCUGUCACUGGAAGCUUCUAGAAGCAGCUCCGUCCUGGUGUUGGUAAGACAUUGCACCCAUUUUACCUAUCCUGUGCCCCCGAGACUCUCAAAGCCAGGAGACUUUCCUUGGAGCAGAAGGUAAGCGUGCAGGGACGGGAGACGCCCUGUCCUGUGCGUGAGGCACUGCUGUCCCCUCAUGCUGCAGACAAGAAAGCCAAACCUUGGGGAAACCAUGUAAACUGACUGUGGCCCAGGGUAGGAAGUGACGUCAUAAGGGUCUGACCCCAGUGUCUGCUCCGCGCCGAACCCUGUGUGCUGCCUACGCUGUGUCUCAGGGACUCGUGUUUCCAGGGUGAGGAUCCGGAGCCGCGGUGUGGCAGACAGACGCAGGGGGUACCCAUCCGCAGUGUACCGAGAUGGAGGAGAGACUCCACCCGUUAUCCUGCAACAGAAAAACGUGUUGAGGAAACAGCUAAGAAAACCCCAAGUCAGAUGUGCAGCAGACAAAAGAGAAGCUGUCUGUUAGUGUGGCAGUGAGCAUGGCCGGAAGCCUACACAGGUGGGGGACAGACGCCCAAACUGAGCACCAGAAGGAGUCAGGGUGUUUGAGCUUCAGGCUGACUCAGCUUCUUGGGGGGCACAGGCAAUCUUCGGGCAUCCCCUCCUCUCUCUGGGCGCAGUGCCGGUCUGGCCUGGUGCCUGUGAGGGUGCUCUGCUGGCCCGCCUCCCUGGCUCUCCCAUCUCCUCAGCCCUCUUCUCAGCAGCACAGGCUCCCCGGUUACCUGCAGACAUCGAGGAGCCUCUGUCUGUGUCCCCAGGGCUCACCGAAGGGCGCCGCUGGGACCCCCACAGAGCCCAGCCUGCAGAGUCGGAAGGAGGAGAAUGCCCUGUGAACUCCUGUCCUUCAGCUUCCUUGCUCCUGGUUCCAGAGGCCUCUCCUGGGCGGGUAGAGCUGCCUUACUGUAUCCCGAGCCCAUCGCUUUACAGAAACCUUUCCAGGUCUGGCCGUUUGGAGGGGAAAUCAGCUGAUUCUUCCCAUGAGGCACGGAGGACCAAAUGGGAGAAGACAGUCGCUCUGUCCAAAGAGGACGAUCAGGAGGUCCGGGCACAGUUCGAUAUUCCGGCCCCUUCGAUCCCGGGGCACUCUUUCUGAGCCCCGAAAGGGCUAAACAGAUGUCAUCGAGCCCUGCCUCAGAAGUGCAAGAGGGGCUGGACCCCCGCCCAGCGUGGACACGUGGCUCCAGGGCUCCUCCUGCACAGCAUGCAGCCUCCCCUUCAGGAGAACCGUGUCUCCAAAGCCGAGCUAUCGUCAAGAGAUGGCCAGACUUCGUUAUGUCCUUACGUGCCUGCUCAUCUGACUUCCAGACCUUUUGUGUUCCUCGGACUGAUCUGGCCCACGUUCGCACUGUGGGUCUGGGGCCCCUUUCCUCUGGAAGCCCCGUGUGGGGGACCCCGGGUACUGUCAAAUCGAGCUCUGUGGGGUUGCCCACAAGCUUGCUUCCUCAGCACUCCCUCAGAAGCUACUACUAUUUGGGUCCUUAUCACCCUUUGCCUGGACUGUCCCCCAAAUGGCAUCAAUAUCUUCCCACUGCUCAGUUCUCUCUAGUUUAUCUGAUAAAAUAUACACAGUACAGCUAUGAUCACGUCAUUCCCUUCUCAAAACAUCACUGACUUCCAAUCCUUUUUAAAUAUAAAUAUAACCUGACUCCAAAGUUGUUCUCAGGGGCUUUAGCCACCUUUUGAACUUAUGUUUUCUCUACUUCCCUUUAACUAUUGUGCACUUCGUUAAACAGAGCUCUUUACAUAGCUACGUACAUCUCCCACAUUUUCCCUCCUUGGGAAGACUCUAUCUAUUCUUCAAAGGCCAGGUCACGUCCUUCCCUCACGAAGCCUUCACUGGCCCUGUCCCGCAUCACCUGGCACUUUCCAUCUUGCAUGCAUGGCACCUGGGGACCGGUCUCUUCGACAUCACGUUGGGUUCCCUGCACCCAGCACAGUGCCUUGUGGGGUUGGCACCUGCAAGCUGGGCUAAAUGGGUUAUUUCUUUUACUUUGGUCUCAUUUACUGUUUUGGGAGAACAAUGGGUCUGCUUAAUUAGUCUAUACUGCUACAUUUUAGAUGUCCAGCUUCCAAGCGGGGGUAUUAAGUCAAUCACUUAUGUCUUGGUGACAGAGCUACGCCUCAGCGGCCUCUCAGCUGAGCAGUAUCCAGCAUCUAAAAGCAGGAACAGAUGCUUAGGCUGGGCUGCCAUGGAGACGAAUGUUCUCUGAUCCUCUCUGUGAAGAAUGACUUCAGGGUUGCUGGUUAUAGAAAUGAAUGUUUUUAGUCAACAGUGCAUCUCAGCCUCCAACAUAAGAAAACCCUAUUUCCAGUGCCAUGCCCGUCUGAAGCACCAAUUAGUUUUGCUUCCAAAAUCAGUUGUGUUGCCACCAAAUUAAAUCGGCUGUGAAAUAAUGGUAUCUGCCAACAUGUGGGCUUUUGGUUAAUUAUUAUCUUUUUAUAAAAGACCUAUGCUUUAAUUGAUACAUUUUCUUUUACUUAAGCCAUUAAUGAUGUGCUAUUCUGGCCUUGUCAUCAGGUAGCUCUGCAAAUAGUGUAUUUUUGGAAUGAUAAUAAAUGGCAUUUGAAAAGUGUUAAUGCCAAUAUCUUCGUUGCCCUAAGAGAGUCAAAAACUAAUUAAAAAAGGAAUGAACACCAUCAUAGAGUCACAUGGGUUGAAGCUGAGUUUGGUAAGGAACUAUGGAAAAUUAAAACUGAGCUUUUGAGUUUUGGCUUUAAUAGAAUUGUUCUUUUGGAGAUGGUGGGUCAACUGGGACGACAGAGAUU
Molecule: long non-coding RNA, 6496 nt
Organism: Mirounga angustirostris (Northern elephant seal)
Lineage: Eukaryota; Metazoa; Chordata; Mammalia; Carnivora; Phocidae
Exons: 13
Source: RefSeq, a predicted model, not a curated record